RNAcentral lists this transfer RNA (72 nucleotides) under Cytophagales bacterium. It matches the Rfam family "tRNA". Rfam says of the family: Transfer RNA (tRNA) molecules are approximately 80 nucleotides in length. Their secondary structure includes four short double-helical elements and three loops (D, anti-codon, and T loops). The record is from Rfam by way of RNAcentral. Lineage: Bacteria; Pseudomonadati; Bacteroidota; Cytophagia; Cytophagales.
GGUGCUAUCGUCUAGGGGUUAGGACGCCAGGUUUUCAUCCUGGUAACCCGGGUUCGAUUCCCGGUAGCACUA